Non-coding RNA from Mycena galericulata, 90 nucleotides. The record is from the annotation of a GenBank genome assembly. Lineage: Eukaryota; Fungi; Basidiomycota; Agaricomycetes; Agaricales; Mycenaceae.
GCCUCCGUAGGUCAUGACAGACCACCUGAAAACUGUGAAGGCGCAUAGAAGUUUCUACAGGAGACGCGGGUUCAACUCCCACCGGAGGCA